Molecule: ribosomal RNA, 466 nt
Filed under: uncultured bacterium
Lineage: Bacteria
Description: partial 16S ribosomal RNA
Rfam family: Bacterial small subunit ribosomal RNA
Source: RNAcentral
GAUGAACGCUGGCGGCGUGCUUAACACAUGCAAGUCGAACGAUGAAGCCCAGCUUGCUGGGUGGUUUAGUGGCGAACGGGUGAGGAACACGUGAGUAACCUGCACUUGACUCUGGGAUAAGCCUGGGAAACUGGGUCUAAUACUGGAUAUGACUUCUCAUCGCAUGGAGGGGGGGGGAAAGAUUUAUUGGGCUUGGAUGGACGCGCGGCCUAUCAGCUUGUUGGUGGGGUAAUGGCUCACCAAGGCGACGACUGGUAGCCGGCCUUAGAGGGGGACCGGCCACACUGGGACUGAGAGACGGCCCAGACUCCUACGGUAGGCAGCAGUGGGGAAUAUUGCACAGUGGGCGCAAGCCUGAUGCAGCGACGCCGCGUGAGGGAUGACGGCCUUCGGGUUGUAAACCGCUUUCAGUAGGGAAGAAGCGAGAGUGACGGUACCUGCAGAAGAAGCGCCGGCUAACUACGUG